GGCGAGUGAAGCGGCAAGAGCUCAAAUUUGAAAUCUGGCGCCGCGAGGCGUCCGAGUUGUAAUUUGGAGAGGCAUCUUCCGGUGGGGCGCCAGCCUAUGUUCCUUGGAANAGGACGUCAUAGAGGGUGAGAAUCCCGUUCAUGGUCGGGUGCCCCCACCUGCAUGUAGUGUCUUCUACGAGUCGAGUUGUUUGGGAAUGCAGCUCAAAAUGGGUGGUAAAUUUCAUCUANAGCUAAAUAUUGGCGAGAGACCGAUAGCGCACAAGUAGAGUGAUCGAAAGAUGAAAAGCACUUUGAAAAUAGAGUNAAACAGUACGUGAAAUUGUUGAAAGGGAAGCGCUUGAGACCAGACUCAGCCUAGGGCAAACAUCCUUCCUUCUGGUUGGUGCACUUGCCCAUGGCUGGGCCAGCACCUGUUGGGACGACGGGAUAAAUGUCUGGGGAAUGUGGCUCCCCUCGGUGAGUGUUAUAGCCCCGGACACCAUGCCGUCCGUCCCGACUGAGGACCGCGCUCCGGCUAGGAUGCUGGCGUAAUGGUCUUCAGCGACCCGUCUUGAAACACGGACCAAGGAGUCUAACAUCCAUGCGAGUGUUUGGGCUUCAAACCCUUACGCGUAAUGAAAGUGAACGGAGGUGGGAACCCCGCGAGGGGCGCACCAUCGACCGAUCCUGAUGUCUUCGGAUGGAUUUGAGUAGGAGCAUGGCUGUUGGGACCCGAAAGAUGGUGAACUAUGCCUGAAUAGGGUGAAGCCAGAGGAAACUCUGGUGGAGGCUCGCAGCGGUUCUGACGUGCAAAUCGAUCGUCAAAUUUGGGUAUAGGGGCGAAAGACUAAUCGAACCAUCUAGUAGCUGGUUCCUG
RNAcentral lists this ribosomal RNA (858 nucleotides) under Reddellomyces donkii. RNAcentral's name for it is "eukaryotic LSU rRNA". It matches the Rfam family "Eukaryotic large subunit ribosomal RNA", at positions 88 to 960 of the family's 3401-position model. The record is from RNAcentral. Lineage: Eukaryota; Fungi; Ascomycota; Pezizomycetes; Pezizales; Tuberaceae.